Molecule: non-coding RNA, 88 nt
Organism: Flavobacteria bacterium GWF1_32_7
Lineage: Bacteria; Pseudomonadati; Bacteroidota; Flavobacteriia
Source: Rfam
UUCGCGUUAGGGAUUGUAGUGGAAAUCCUUUAUUUGUAAAAUUGCCAAAUUUUAUAAAUAAAGAUUGUAACGGAAAGCCCGACCCUUG